RNAcentral lists this non-coding RNA (128 nucleotides) under Palpitomonas bilix. The record is from RNAcentral.
GAAGGAGGCGGAGGCAACUGAACAGGAGAUUGAUACCACCCGUCAGAAGUACAGACCUGUUGCAUACCGUGCUUCCAUUCUGUAUUUCACCAUUGCUGACAUGGCCAUUGUGGAUCCUAUGUAUCAGU